UACAGAGGUCUCAAGCGUUGUUCGGAUUCAUUGGGCGUAAAGGGUGCGUAGGUGGCGUCGUAAGUCGGGCGUGAAAUUUCGGAGCUUAACUCCGAAACUGCAUUCGAUACUGCGGUGCUUGAGGACUGGAGAGGAGACUGGAAUUUACGGUGUAGCAGUGAAAUGCGUAGAGAUCGUAAGGAAGACCAGUGGCGAAGGCGGGUCUCUGGGCCGAUACUGACGCUGAGGAGCGAAAGCGUGGGGAGCGAACAGG
RNAcentral lists this ribosomal RNA (253 nucleotides) under uncultured bacterium. Its description in RNAcentral is "partial 16S ribosomal RNA". It matches the Rfam family "Bacterial small subunit ribosomal RNA", at positions 524 to 776 of the family's 1533-position model. The record is from RNAcentral.